Molecule: non-coding RNA, 4410 nt
Organism: Oryctolagus cuniculus (rabbit)
Lineage: Eukaryota; Metazoa; Chordata; Mammalia; Lagomorpha; Leporidae
Source: RefSeq, a predicted model, not a curated record
CGUGGGGGCACGGAGGGUGGGGGAUGUAGUUCCGGUUGGGAAGGGUGGGGCCGAGGACUGUGAAGGAAGCAGGGCGCCGGCCUCUGUCUGCUGAGCUGGCCCGCAGUGGCCUUUGUUUUGUCUUUGCUGGGCAGUGCCCUCUCACGUAGUCUCCUUUGGGCUGAACUGAUGACUUUGCCUCUAGAAUACCGGGGUGGGGGUGGAGGUGGACACAUACUGACGCCCGCUGAGACCGAGCGCACCUGUAGGGCUUGUGUCUUUGAUCACAAAACUGUCAGAUGUGGCAGUUAAUGACAUCCCUCCUCUCACCCCUCGUUGCUUUCCCUAUUGUUUUUGUCGCUGUUUUGCACCAGAAAACUGACCAAUAUUAAGUUCAACAGGAACAUGAAAGGGGAUAUGUGACCGAAGAUGACCUGCUGGCCAGGAGAGGGAGGGGAAGGGGAGGCAGCGCUGUUGGUAAGAAGCCUGCCCGUGCUUUUGUUGCGUGGGUCUUGAGGGCCUGAGUGGAGGAUCCUGCUUCUUGUUAGACCAGAAUACAGCAGAAGCUGUGUGACUCCUUGGAUAGGUCAUAAAGGGACUGGUUACUGGAUUCCACCUCAUUCUCUUGGAUUAUUGCCCUGGGAGAAGCCAGUUGCCAUGCCACUACACUCAAACAGCCCUAUGAAGUGGUCUAUGUGUAGAGGAACAUGAGUCUCCACCAACAGACAGCUUCAACUUGCCAGCCAUGUAAAACAAGAAAAAGAAUAAUAUAUCCACCUACCCUUCAGCCACUCAUAGUUGGAAAUGAAAGCCUUUACAUUUGCCUAAGCCAGGCCAUACCUACUGCUGUUGCUGAACUGGGCUCCUCAUUUUAACCAAUUACUCAAGGAUGUCAGGGGGAGAAGAGAGUGGAUGAAGACUGAGCCGAUCACCAGUGGCCAAUGAUUUAAUCAAUUUUGCUGUUGAGACUGUUUACUUGGCAGAAUAUGCCUAUGUGACCAGCGAAAUAUAUUCUGCAGCCAACACUCCAUUCUGGGCUUUCUGCUUCCAUGGUACUCUGUGUCUACAUCAGUGGCCCCUGAUCUGAAAGAGAAACUCCAUGCAGCCUCAGCCUUUAUGUUGAGCACUCAAAGGAGCCUGCCCCAGUCUCUGGGGACCCCUUGCUGUGAGGCAAUCUUUACUGUGAUGUAUAUUCUUACUCUAAAGACAUUGAUACAUCCUUUUCUUUUAAUAAACUCUUGAUUCGUAAGCACUGUUGUUUUGAGUCUUCUUUAGCAAAAAAAAUUCUUACUACCAUUAGUGCACGUAUAGAGAUUAGCUAUAGGUUAGGCUAUCAUCUGGGGCUCUGUUUAAAUGGUAAAGGAGGAGCUGGUGCUGUGGCAUAGUGGGUUAAGCCUCCACUUGCAUUGCUGGCAUCCCACAUGGGCACUGGUUUGAGUCCCGGACGCUCCCCUUCCAAUCCAGCUCUCUGCUAUGGCCUGGGAAAACAGUGGAAGAUGGCCCAAAUACUUGGGCCCCUGCACCCACGUGGGAGACCCAGAAACUCCUGGCUCCUGGUUUCGGGUCAGCUCAGAUCUGGCUGUUUCUACUUUGUGUAGGGAGCAAACCAGUGGAUGGAAACUGUUGCAGCCAUCUGGGGAGUGAACCAGCAGAUGGAAGACCUCUUUCUCUGCCUCUGCUUCUCUGUAACUCUGGCUGCCAAAUAAAUAAAUAAGUCUUUAAAAAAAAAGUAAGAAAGGGAAGUAAAGUAUGGCAAAAGGAUGCAAUAUGGCAUAAUUUAGGAGAAAAAUGGGAGGAAAAUAGUAAGCAGGAUAUUUCAACUCCAGGACCCGACUACUUACUGGGCGCAGCGGGAGUGAGUAGGGGGGUGGUAUCCAAAACUGGCUGCUCUAAUUCUAGUUACAAACAUUUGUGACACACAGUGAUUUAUUUGAAAUUAAGAUAGUUAGUUAAAUUUGCAGUUGCUAUGCUAUCAGGGUGUGGUUGCCUAAGAGCAUGGGCACAUCCCAACAAAUGGUGUUAUAAUAUUUAAAUAUAUUGUGUCACAUCUCCCCUUACUCCAAGCUAAAGGCAUCGUGGUUCAUAUAUAAAAUGAUACUGUAAGAAAAUUUAAGGGAGGUGUUCAUGGGUAAGUCAAUUUGUUUUGUGAAGUAUUUUGAAGCAUCCAACAUGAAUUGAAAUGGGAAGAAGUAGCAAACAGAAACCUCCCAUGCAAGAUUUUCAGUCUUUGAGGGUAAGCUAACUAGAGCCAGGGCAAAAGUUCGCAGAGCAUAUGAUCAGCUGGAUACAGCAGAUAAGAAUAGGAAAGACAGGAUAUUUGGCAGUAUUUCAACAGCACAGCAUAAAAAUCAAAGAAAUAUUAUCCCAAGAUUAUAGAAACCAAAGUAUUUUUAUUUGAACUUGUGGCAAAAUCUAGGACAAAAGUAUCUGGGCAGAAUGAUCUGUAUGGGUGGAGGCCUGCUUUCCCUACCAGAAGACUGAUCCUACGUAAAAAUAUAAUUUAAGACCAGAUAUCAGUUCCAACAAUUAAAUCACUCAACUACUGAGUAACAUAGGGCCAAAGACACACAUUCUGGUUAUUUAGUGAUUGAAUCAAUAUGACAUAAACAGAAUGCAUAAUCUUUGGCUUUGAUAAGUAGUUCUCCACCCAAAUACCAUAAAUUACAUUAAGCAACAACUGCCAUUAAAUUAUGAAUGACUGUCCAGCACUUACUUGCAAGCAAAGAAGACCAUCAGGGACAGGCUAAGGUGAAAUGUGAUAGUCAUUAGCCAGUAGUAGUUGAGGCUUUUUGGUGUGCUAAGCCUACAUCGUGCAUUAGGUGUAGUAUGUAAUUUUUCUAAAAAUUCUGUAUAUAAGAUUAUCGUUACCUUUUUGCAGAUGAGGAAAUUGAGGAACAUUAAGGUUACCCAAGCUUUCUGAUCUGAGCCAGAGCUUUCAAUCACUGUCCUCUAAAACUCUAGACUUUCUAGGCCAAUGUUUGAUGAUGUGUGCAGGGUGGCUAGUGUUGGGAAUGCAGAAAGAAUUUCUGAAAAGUAGAAAAGCAGACCAUGAAUCACCAAAAUAGAUGACUUCAAAUGAAGAAUUAAAAAUAAACAAUAUCUCUUUUAAGUUAUGCAUAAUUUAUAUGAAUCAUAGCAUCCAUUUUUUAAAAAAAAUAUUUAUUUGAAAGAGUUACAGAGAGAGGGAAAGAGAGAGAGAGAGACCUUCCAUCUGCUCUUUCACUCCCCAGAUGGUCACAACGUCCAGGCUGGGCCAGGCCAAAGCCAGGAGCCAGCAGCUUCUUCGAGGUCUUCCACAGGGGUGGCAGGAGCCAUCUUUUGCUGCUCUUCCCAGGCCAUUAGCAGGGAGCUGCAUCAGAGGUGGAGCAACUGGGACAUGAACCAGUGCCCACAUGGGAUGCCAGUGUCACAGGUGGUGGCUUUUCCUGCUACACUACAACACUGGCCCCCAAAGCAUCAAUUAAAUUUCCACUCUUAUACCAUAUUUUCCUCCUCAUCAUAAGCUUAGCACAGUGCUAACUCAGUGCUAGAAUCUUUUUUUUUUUUAAGAUUUAUUUAUUUAUUUGAAAGUCAGAGUUACACACAGAGAGAAGAAGAGGCAGAGAGAGAGAGAGAUAUCUUCCAACCUACUGGUUCACUCCCCAGUUGGCUGCAAUGGCCACAGCAGCACCAAUCUGCAGCCAGGAGCCAGGAGCUUCUUCUGGUUCUCCCACAUGGGUGCAGGGGCCCAAGUACUUGGGUCAUCUUCUGCUGCUUUCUCAGGCCGUAGCAGAGAGCUGGAUCAGAAGUGGAGCAGCUGGGACUCGAACCAAUGCCUGUAUAAGAUGCUGGCAUUGCAGGCGGUGGCUUUACCCGCUACACCACAGUGUUGGCCCCAGAUGCUAGAAUCUUAAUCAAAGAAUCAAUUCAACAAAGUCUUACCUUAUGCUUCCUGGGUGCUGGGUAUUUUAAUACCCUUCCAUAAAGCAAGACGGUCCCCCUACACAAAUUUUGAGAAGAUGUUGCAUUGCAUGAUUAAAAUUGUGCAAGAAUUUAUGUUUAAACAGGAACUAAGCUGCCUAUUAUGAAAGUCAGAGUGACAGAUUCUUUGCCUUUUUUUUUUAUAUUCAAAACAUUAGGGGACAGGGCUGUAGCGUAGCAGGUAAAGCCACCACUUGCAGUGCCAGUAUCCCAUAGCGACACCAGUUUGAGUCCCGACUGCUCCACUUCUGAUCCAGCUCUUUGCUAUGGUAUGGGAAAGCAAUAGAAGAUGGCCCAAGUUCUUGGACCCCUGUACCCACGUGGGAGACCCGGAAGAAGCUCCUGGCUCCUGGCUUCUGACUGACACAGCUUCAGCCAUUGCGGCCACUGAUGAGUGGAUGAGUGAACCAGGAGAUGGAAGACCUCUCUCUUUCUCUCUCUCUCUCUUUUUCUCUCUCUCCCUCUGCCUCU